This is a Y RNA of Callithrix jacchus (white-tufted-ear marmoset), 109 nucleotides long. It matches the Rfam family "Y RNA". Rfam says of the family: Y RNAs are components of the Ro ribonucleoprotein particle (Ro RNP), in association with Ro60 and La proteins. The Y RNAs and Ro60 and La proteins are well conserved, but the function of the Ro RNP is not known. The record is from Ensembl. Lineage: Eukaryota; Metazoa; Chordata; Mammalia; Primates; Cebidae.
GGCUGGUUCGAAGGUAGUGAGUUAUCUCAUUCGAUUGUUCACAGUUACAGAUCGAACUCCUUGUUCUAUUCUUGCCCCCCUUCUCACUACUGCAUUUGACUAGUCUAAG